GAUCCACACUGGAGACUGGAAGCUCUCAGGGUGGAGCCUGCUGGACUCCCAUUCUUGACACCAGGUCUGAGGAAGUAUUCCUGUCAACUCACCAUCGACACAAACACAGUGAGCAGAGAACUCAAACUGUCUGAAAAUGACAAGAAUGUCACAUCUGUGGAGGAGCUUC
This is a long non-coding RNA of Xiphophorus maculatus (southern platyfish), 169 nucleotides long. RefSeq lists it as uncharacterized. NCBI's taxonomy places the organism in Eukaryota, Metazoa, Chordata, Actinopteri, Cyprinodontiformes, Poeciliidae. The transcript is spliced from 3 exons. The record is from RefSeq and is a predicted model, not a curated record.